GUGAUGUUUCCCAGGGCUCCGAAAGGUGAGGACGGUUUCUGGUCGCUGA
RNAcentral lists this small nucleolar RNA (49 nucleotides) under Pyrobaculum aerophilum str. IM2. RNAcentral's name for it is "PAEsR22". The record is from RNAcentral. Lineage: Archaea; Thermoproteati; Thermoproteota; Thermoprotei; Thermoproteales; Thermoproteaceae.